RNAcentral lists this ribosomal RNA (254 nucleotides) under uncultured bacterium. Its description in RNAcentral is "partial 16S ribosomal RNA". It matches the Rfam family "Bacterial small subunit ribosomal RNA", at positions 524 to 776 of the family's 1533-position model. The record is from RNAcentral.
UACGGAGGGUGCAAGCGUUGUUCGGAGUUACUGGGCGUAAAGAGUCUGUAGGCGGCCUGGCGUGUCCGCAUGUCCAAUCUCCCGGCUCAACCGGGAGCCGCGGCGGAAACUGCCAGUGCUGGAGGGCGGGAGAGGAAAGCGGAAUUCCGGGUGUAGCGGUGAAAUGCGUAGAGAUCCGGAGGAACACCAGUGGUGAAGACGGCUUUCUGGACCGUUGCUGACGCUGAGAGACGAAAGCGUGGGGAGCAAACAGG